This 494-nucleotide ribosomal RNA is filed under the name uncultured bacterium. Its description in RNAcentral is "partial 16S ribosomal RNA". It matches the Rfam family "Bacterial small subunit ribosomal RNA", at positions 28 to 507 of the family's 1533-position model. The record is from RNAcentral.
GACGAACGCUGGCGGCGUGCUUAACACAUGCAAGUCGAACGGAAAGGCCUGCUUUCCCUUGUGGAUUGCGGGUACUCGAGUGGCGAACGGGUGAGUAACACGUGAGUGAUCUGCCCCCAACUUGGGUAUAAGCCUGGGAAACUGGGUCUAAUUCCCGAUAGGACUGCAGGGUGGUGCCUGUGGUGGAAAACGAUUUUCUAGUGGUUGGGGAUGAGCUCGCGGCCUAUCAGCUUGUUGGUGGGGUAAUGGCCUACCAAGGCGGCGACGGGUAGCCGGCCUGGGAGGGUGGACGGCCACAUUGGGACUGAGAUACGGCCCAGACUCCUACGGGAGGCAGCAGGGGGGAAUAUUGCACAAGGGGCGGAAGCCUGAUGCAGCGACGCCGCGGGGGGGAUGACGGCCUUCGGGUUGUAAACUCCUUUCGACCGCGAGGAAGCCACCUGGUUGGAAGGGUGGUGACGGUAGUGGUAGAAGAAGCACCGGCUAACUACGUG